CACUGCACUCCAGCCUGGGCAAUGGAGCGAGACUCCGUCUCAAAAAAAGAAAGAAAAUGUAACUAAGAUAUUUACAAAAUUUCUGUUAAACUGAGUUGAAGAAUGGGGUUUUGUCUUUAAAACCCAUUUUCUGUCCUGUGCCGUCCACUCACAGAAGCCUCUGACUGUUAAGGAAUGAAACACUUGACAUUUAGCUUUAAAAGAUAUUGUAGCCUCUUAAAUGGAGUAAAGAUAGGAUGAGUCCUCAGGCAUUUAGAUUCUUUUUCUACAUUUUUCCUUUUCUUUUCCUUUUUUGAUCCUUUUCUCUGAAUUGCAAAGAAUGAUUAUUAUUUUAGAUCAGGCUUCUUAAUCAUUGUAUGCAUCAGUCGCAAGCAACAUUGAACCCUCUUGUUGAGUGUGAUCCAGCAAGUGCUUAUUGCACACCCACCUUAUUCUCAGUGUUGGGCUCGGUUUGGCACAGAGCAAGAAUUUCCUGUUCGUCUUAAUUAUUCCCAGAUGGUAUCAGCAGAUUCCUGUUUCUAACCACCAAAUCAGUGUUCUGGUAGAAACACUCCUGUCUUGUGACCUCUAAAUUACACACACUCUCCAUCUGCACUGA
Non-coding RNA from Macaca mulatta (Rhesus monkey), 598 nucleotides. NCBI's taxonomy places the organism in Eukaryota, Metazoa, Chordata, Mammalia, Primates, Cercopithecidae. The record is from RefSeq and is a predicted model, not a curated record.